Molecule: ribosomal RNA, 253 nt
Filed under: uncultured bacterium
Lineage: Bacteria
Description: partial 16S ribosomal RNA
Rfam family: Bacterial small subunit ribosomal RNA
Source: RNAcentral
UACGUAGGGACCAAGCGUUGUUCGGAUUUACUGGGCGUAAGGGGCGCGUAGGCGGCUUGACAAGUCACUUGUGAAAUCUCCGGGCUUAACUCGGAACGGCCAAGUGAAACUGUCAUGCUAGAGUGCAGAAGGGGCAAUCAGAAUUCUUGGUGUAGCGGUGAAAUGCGUAGAUAUCAAGAGGAACACCUGAGGUGAAGACGGGUUGCUGGGCUGACACUGACGCUGAGGCGCGAAAGCCAGGGGAGCAAACGGG